UACGUAGGAUGCAAGCGUUGUUCGGAAUUACUGGGCGUAAAGAGUACGUAGGCGGUGAUAUAAGUCUGAUAUUAAAAACUAGAGCUUAACUCUAGGGAUGUAUUGGAAACUGUGUCACUAGAGGACAGUAGAGGAAGUCGGAAUUCUCAGUGUAGCGGUGAAAUGCGUAGAUAUUGGGAAGAACACCGGUGGCGAAAGCGGACUUCUGGGCUGUUACUGACGCUGAGGUACGAAAGCGUGGGGAGCAAACGGG
RNAcentral lists this ribosomal RNA (253 nucleotides) under uncultured bacterium. RNAcentral describes it as "partial 16S ribosomal RNA". It matches the Rfam family "Bacterial small subunit ribosomal RNA", at positions 524 to 776 of the family's 1533-position model. The record is from RNAcentral.